Molecule: long non-coding RNA, 1089 nt
Organism: Pseudophryne corroboree (corroboree frog)
Lineage: Eukaryota; Metazoa; Chordata; Amphibia; Anura; Myobatrachidae
Exons: 3
Source: RefSeq, a predicted model, not a curated record
GCUGCAGGAUCUGUGUGUGAGAGACACGCUUUCUGAUGCAAUAUAUGCUGGAGUUACGUUGAAAACCGAGAGGUCGCAGAAUAGGAGAAGGCUUUGCUCUUGCUGGACGAAGGAGUGGCUGUUGCGGAGGGAUUCUCUCAUGUGCCGCAACUUUGGAAGAUCCACGAGAAUAACCCGGAACUUCUUGCGUAUAGAUGAUGCCACCUUCAGUGAGUUGCUGGGUCUGGUGACGCCUCACAUCCAGAAGCAGGAUACUAGGCUGCGGAGGGACAUACAUGCCGUGGAGAGGCUGGUCACAACCCUGCGAUUCUUGGCGACUGGCAGAUCCUUGCAAGACUUGAAGUUAGGGUCUGUCAUCUCACCUCAGGCUUUGGGGCUCAUCAUUCCGGAGACCUGCAAAACGAUCGACCCUGUACUCUACUCAGGCAGCAGUACUUCAAGUUACCCUCAUCUGAGGAGUGGCUAAGUAUUGCUGCGGAUUUUGAAGACCCUUUUUUAUUAUUGGCUCAUCUCUAAAAGCCUCAGUCUUCCUCCUGCUUCACAGUGCAAGAAUGGACUGAAUUAUGUAUUUGUUGCAGAUGAGGCUAUUGUAUUGCAUGAGCAUGUCCUCAAACCCUAUGCUCAAAGGGGUUUGAUGACUGAGAGGAGGAUCUUCAAUUAUCGCCUUUCCAGGACACGCCAUCCAGUGGAAAAUGCAUUUUCGCAUAAACUUCCAAGUGUACAAAAUAGACUGGGUUGUGGUGGCAUGUUGUGCCCUUCAUAACUUCCUCAGGCACAAAAACACGUCACACUGAACACCAUGUGCAGCACUUCCAGAACCUCCAGACAACAUUGUGGACAAUGAUAUGUUCACUUCUUUACGUCGAGCAGGGGUUACAGAAGUGUCCUCUGGAGAAGCCAAAAAGAUCAGGGAAGACUACCUGGCAUAUUUUAAUGGAGAGGGGGCAGUGCCAUGGCAGGAAAAAAAAGUAUUAAUUAAAGCCCUGCAAAAAAAAAAAAAAUUAGUGCACUAUCUCAAAAACCGGCUAAACUUCAAUAUUUUUUUUAUUUAUAUUCUUGUCCAAUAAAACAUUUAGUUUCUUUGAAUAA